AAGGUGGAUGAGGAAGAUAUUGUCUCUCACAUCCUCGCUGGACUCGAUGAGGAGUUCGAUCCUGUGUUGUCUGCCUUGUGCUCCCUGGUCGUGCCCAUUGGGGUCCCGGAGUUGUACUCGCAGCUCCUGAGCUUUGAGA
Non-coding RNA from Triticum aestivum (bread wheat), 139 nucleotides. Lineage: Eukaryota; Viridiplantae; Streptophyta; Magnoliopsida; Poales; Poaceae. The record is from Rfam.